This is a long non-coding RNA of Triticum dicoccoides, 7701 nucleotides long. RefSeq lists it as uncharacterized. NCBI's taxonomy places the organism in Eukaryota, Viridiplantae, Streptophyta, Magnoliopsida, Poales, Poaceae. The record is from RefSeq and is a predicted model, not a curated record. The transcript is spliced from 2 exons.
GCGCCCUCUCCUCCCCGCGCUCCGGCCCCGUCUCUCCUCCGACCUUUCUCGUUCGUGACGGGCCGCGCCUCCUCGCGUUUGAGCGACUGUUUCCUUCCCCUUCCAAUUUCUCUUUUCCUCGUGACGAUUCGUCGCGUCUGAUUUUAUUUCAUUCACCCGCCGUCGCCGUUGCCUUGAUGUGCUCGCAGGGGAUUCGAAUUCGACGACUUGUCUCUCCUCCGCUUCCGUGCGAGUUCGGGAAGCGAUCGAUCGGGGGAUUCAUCCGUUUGGUUUGCGAGUCUAUCUCAGAAUCUGUUUCGCGUGUCCGCUUCUGUUUGCAACUGUGGAUCAUGUGUUUCUCGUCGUGUUCGCAUCCGCGCGUGCAGGUUGAAGGAUCGUGCGUGGUUUUUGGAAUUGGGGCUUAAUUAUGGAGCCGGAGGCCGAGGCAAGGUCAGUUUCCCGUGCUCGUUCAGAUCGCUUCCUUGGUUCCGUCACCUGCGUUCGUCCGUGAUUCCAGAUUUGAAAUGAAUAUGGCCCGUGUGAUCUUCUGGUUCCCCGAGGGCUGUGGUUUAUUCCGUGUCAUCCGUUAGUGCGGGGUGUGUUAAUUCGAGGCCCUCGUGGAGGAUUCUUGUUGUACCGGCUGAUCUCGGUUUUGGUAUGUCUUUGUCCUCUCACCCUAUGUAGAUGCAGAGGAAGCCAGAGGGUGCGCUAGUUCUACAGAGGUGGAGGUUUGAUCUCUUCUCAUGAUUAUUUUGAUUCAUUGGUUGAGGUUCAGCGGCUGUCCUGAUAUGGUCAGAUCUUCUCGGGUGAUGAAGCUUAGGAUCUCUUACCAACCUGAACCUGCGAUCCGCGUGUGGAUAAUAUUAAUAAAUCCCUCCCAAUUUUAGUUUCUUGGUCUGCACACUAGUCAACGGCAAUUCUGAUCUGAAUUCGUUGGUUCUCCAGGAAUUAUAAUUUGGAUUACACAGCAUAGCAGGAGCCGGGAGCAACAUCUGCGUUUGGAUGAUUAAUUGCCCCCUCUAUUUAAUUCCUCCAUCUACACAGUUCAAUCUUAGUCGGUUUUGAUUUAGAUUUGUUGAUGGUUGUCCAGAAAUUGGGAUUAUACGGCUUAGCGGGAGCGACUUGUCAUCUUCCUCACCUGUGUUUGGACGAUCAUUCCCUUUCUGUUCAUUUUCUUUUCUCCACAGUUCAGUUAGUCUUCACACAACACACAAUUCUGAUUUGGAUUUUGUAUUUGUUGCUGGUACUCCAGAUAUUGGAAUUAUACGGCUUAGCGGGUGGCCCCUAUUUUCCCUCGUCACGCCGGUUCUUCUGUGGCUCGACAUUUUCUUACUCGUCAAUAAUAUAAUUGGAACAUACCAGACAAGUUUCUCUGCCUUAGUUUGUCAUUCUCAGCUCUUGCAGACACCAUCUUGGAAGGGAUAUAAUUUGAAUCGGUGUUGUGCUGUCUACCUGACCUUCCCAGCCCAACUUCGUCAUAUAGCAUUUACCUCUUCCUCGUUUGAAGCAUGCUUUAGUUGAGCCUAGUUUCCCCCUAAUUUACAGAGACGUAUCUUGCUCGUUGCAGGUUUGACGAAUGCAAGUCCAACCUGAUGCUGAGUUCUGUUUGCAGUUCUUUCUAAAUCUAAUCAAUUCAUUAUUACUUAGAUAACCUUUAAGAUCUUCUCACUAGGCAAUAUUUUGAAUUCAGAUUUAUCUCAAAGGUUCACGAAUGGAGCUUCAAACUUGGCGAAACCUACAAACAAAAAAGAGACUCGUCCAUUUUUAACUCUUGCCUCUUUUUCUUUAUAUCACGUAGCUACUUUGUUCAUGCCUUUGAUUUAGGCUUUUUUGCUUCUGCCCCUGUGAUUGCAGAUAUAUUUUAGCCCAGAGAGUGUUGGCAGUGAGUCGAAAUCUGUUAAAAUCGUUUGGUUUGCAAUCUAUCUCUAUGCGUUUCAAUUUGUUAUCUGUACACUUAUCCUGUCGACUGCAGGCCAUAUUUAGGAAGUUUGUGCUUAUGGGCAAAUCUCUUUACAGUGAGUCAGGUCAGUGUUCUAUCAACGGUUUGUUUGGUUUAGUUGUGUUCCUCCACACAUUGGUUGCAGGAUUGGAUCUGGAAUGUGGAGAUCCCUAUGAUGUUGUAUGUCGGAAGGGGAUUUGAGCAGGUCAGAUUUAAAUGGCUAUCGCCGGUGUGGUCUUCUGGUUCUCAUCACGCAUCAUCAGCUAAUAUGAGGUGGAUUGGAGGUCCUGGUAGAUUCUUAUUGUAGCAGCUGAUCGCACUCUUGGUGUGUGUUUGUGCUCCUUUGCUUGCAGCAGAUGCAGGAGUGUAGUAGUUCUGCACAGAUGAAUCAUAGGGUGGAGGUUUGGUUUCUGUUUGUCGUUUUGAUUGAUUGGAUAAUGAAGCUUAGGAUUCUUGCCAACCUGAAACUUGUGAUCUGCAUUUGGAUAAUGAAUUUCAUCUCGAUUCAAUUUAUUUGGUCUGUGCAGUACAAUUUAGUCCUUGGCAGUUCUGAAUCCAUUUGUGGUUUUCCAGAAAUUGAGCUUAACAAGGUUUAGCAGGAGCAACCUAUCUUCUUGUUGAUCAGUGUUUGGAUGAUUAUGAACCCCCUAUAUUUAAGUCUCUGCACAAUUCAACUUUAGUCCCCCACAGUUUGAUUUGGAUCUGUUGCUGGUUGUCCAAAAAUUGGGAUUAUAUGGCUUAGCGGGAGUGACCUAUCUUCUUGCUGACCUGCGUUUGGAUGAUCAUUACUCUCUGCUUAAUUUCUUCUCAGCUCAAUUAGUUGUCCAACAAUUCUGAUUUAGAUUUGUUGCUGGUUCUCCAGAAAUUGGAAUUAUACGGCUUAGCGGGUGAUCCUAUGUUUCCUCAGCAUGGCGGUUCUUUCUGUGGCCCAACAUAUCUGACCUUUUGUCCUCCCUUGAUAAUUGAACUUUCUAGACAUUUGUUUCUUAGCCUUCCUUGGUAAUUCUUGGCUCUUGCAGAUGCUGGCUUGGAACCGAAAUAAUUGGAACCAGUGUUGUCUAUCUGACCUUCGUGGCCGAGACAGGCUUACAUACCCUUUACCUCUUACUUAACCUUCACCUCAGCAUUUGAUGCAUGCUUUAGCUGAGCCUAGUUUUCCUCCUAUCUUAUAGAAAGGUAUCUUCCUUGUUGCAGGUCGUAGUUGAUGAACUCAAGUCGAACCUGGUGCUGAGUUGAAUCUGUUUGCAGUUCUUCUAAAUCUACUAUUUCCUCAAGUCAUCAUAACUUAGAUAACCUUUAAAAUCAUCUUACCAGGAAAUAUUUUGAAUACAGAUCUGCAAAGGUUCAACAAAGGAGAAUCAAACUAAUGGAACAUCCUACAAUGAAAAAGACUAUUUUAACCCACCUCUUACUUUUUUAUUUCACGUAGCUACUUGCUUGUGUCUUUAAUUUAUGUUUUUCUUUCUACCCUCCCUUUGGUGUUUGCAGAUUGAGCCCAAACCAUGCUGGUUGUGAGUCGGAAUCUGUUAAAUCAUUUGGUUUGCGGUCUAUCUCUCUUUCUGGAUGGAUUUGUUGUUUGUACUCUUGAUCCCUGUGCUGGUCUUCUGCGUGUUAUCAGUUGCAGGAUAUAUUUAGGAAGUCUGGGCCGCAGGAUAUAUUUGGAUAUGUUGGUUCUCCAGAAAUUGGAAUUAUAUGGCUUAGCGGAGAGACACAUCUUGCUCUGCUUUGCGUUUGGAUAAUUAUCACUCCCUCUGUUUUGCUCUUUCGUCUCCACUGUUCUGUUUUGGUUUCCCACAAUUCUAAUUUGAACUAUUUGUUGGUGGCUCUCCAGAAAUUGGAAUAAUAUGGCUUAGAAGGCGGUCCUAUUUUGCGUCGUGGCAGUUCCUUCUAUGGCUAAAACUUUUCAACCUUUUUACUCUAUAAUUGAACUCUCUAGACCUUAGGUUUUCUUUGCCUUGGUAAUUCUCAGCUCUUGCAGAUACCGACUUGGAAAGGAAUCUGCAGUUUGGAACUGGCGUUGUUGUCGUCCAUCAUCCAUACCUGACCCUAGACAGGCUUUUACUUGUUCCCGCUCAUUGUUUUAUCCAUGCUUUAGCUAUUUAUAUAUAAGCAGAAUUUCCCCUAACCAAAAAUUUAUAGAAAAGGCCUCUUGCUCGCUGCAGGUUGUAGUUGAAGAACUCCUUUCCAACCCGAUUCAUAUGCAAAACAAAUAUAUGGAUAAUCCAGAGCUUUCAACUAAUGGCACAUCCUACAACCGAAGAAGACUCUUACCUUCCUAUUUUCUUUAUUUCAUUUAUUAGUUACUUGGCCAUCGCUUUGAUAUAGGUUUUUGCCCCUGCCCUUCCUAUGGUUGCAGAUUGUUCUUUAGCCCAGGCCAUGUGGGCAGUGACUAGCUCCCCAUGGUUGUUAUCUGUACUCUUGAUCCCUGUGCUCUCUAGGUCUUCUGUGAGUGUGGGUUGGCAAGAUAUAAUAGUUAGGAGUUUGGGCCCAAACCGCUCUGUACAUGGAGUCAGGUCAGAUUCUUGUAGACAGUCUGUUUGUUUAAUUUGUUAUGGUCUCUACAAUUUAGCUUGCAGGACUGGAUCUCGAUCUGGUCUGGAAAUGAAGCUUCAUAUGGUGUGUGAACGUAUGGUGAAGGGUACUUGAGGCAGGUCAGUUUCCCAUGUUUGGUCACAUUGAUUUGCUGGAUUCCUCAUCUGUGCUUGGUGACGUCAGAUUUGAGUGGCUAUACCUUAGUUCCUUGAUUUAUGUUUGUCUGAUGGCUGUUUGGGAGCUUCGUUCUGGAUGGAGGAAUCUUCCUCGACCACAAAACAAAAACUUAAACCUGGACUCGAUGCCUUGAAGAAACUAUGGUCUGAUUUCAACUGAUUUCCCAGAUUUCCUUGAUUUCAACUGAUUUCAACUCGAUGCCUUGAUUUCAACUGAUUUAUGUUUCAACUGAUUUCCCAGAUUUUAUUAUGGUCUGAUUUUCCUUGAAGAAACUAUAAGUAUGCCUGUCAUUUGGGCCGUUCAUUGAUUUGCAUUAUUGGAGGUUUUAUUGCAAGAUUGUAGAGUUGGGUAGUCAGUCAGCGCUGGGACUUGGUGAAAGCAAACGGGCUUCCCUGAUGGUUUUGACUUCUGAUUAGUGAUCCUGAAGCAUAAUGAUAUGGUCUUUGUGGUAGUUUUCAGUUUGAACUUGCAUUCAGUGGCCUCAUAUCUUUGGUGCAGCUUGGAGUUGGUAGUGUGCACAUCUGAUUCUUUCAACUGUCCUGAAGCAUCUUACUUGGUUUCUGUUCUGCCAUCUUACUGGUUACGGUAUCUUCUUCAACUUGCAUGUGGUUUGGAUGGAAUAUGAUCUCAUCUUCUGCUUGAAUCAAGAAAAUGCUAGAAGUCUCAAACAAGGGUCCGAAAUGGAAAUAUCAGUUCGUACUCAGUUUGUAUAGAAGAUUAUCAAAGUUUGAUUUGACUAUAAAUUAUCUGGUUACCAUACUGUUUCAGGAAGUUUGGUUUUGAUAUUUGGCUGCUUGUAUCUUUCGACUUGCAAAUUUAUCACCCAAUAGGAAGUAAAGAUUGUAUGUACAUGAGCUCUGAAUGCAGUAAAAAUGUUAAUGCAUAUAUAUAUAUGAAUUGGUCAUGCUUGGAUUUGUUCUACAUACUGUUGUCCAUGAUUGCACUUGGUUUGUUUAUGUAUAUAAUUUUAUAUAUACACACGUUGUUUAGGUUCAUCUUAUGACACAAAAUCAACUUUUGGUGUGCUCAUAUUUUUUACUUUGGUGAUAAAGAAAGAUCCCACGCUCGCACUUGUGUUGGUUGGCCUCCUGUAGUUGGGUAUGCAGAAAGAGGUUUAGGAGUUAUUGCUAUAUAUACUAAAACUUUGGAUAGUUGGAAGUUUCUGAGCUUGGAAGCUUGAACAAAUAUUUUGCCCUGAACAUGUUCACUGAAUAUGAUUCUGCUUUGUUGGUAUGGAGUUGAUUUUCAGAAGUGAUGUUAUUCUCAUUGGUACUUCUCCAGUGAGAUCUGGAUUCUUCAAUGCAUCUUCUCGAUUUGGUUAAAUUGACACCUAGCAGAACAGUCUGGCUAAUUUGAUGAUUCCUGAACACACUGGCUAAUUUGAGGAUGAAUCCUUCUGAUUACUUCCAACAUAUGGCAGUUUGUUUUGUACUUCAUCCUGGAUUUAAAGUCACAAAGCGCUCACACAUCUCUACGGUCCUCCAAUGGCUAAUUUGAUCUCUUUACGCAAACUGCUGAUUUGAUCUGGAUUAUGGAAUCUUCCAUUACAUAUUCUUAUCUCUAAUGGAUAAUUUGACCUUCUUUACCGUCAAACUGCUAAUUUGAUAUGGAUUAUGGAGUCUUCAAUUACUUAUUCUUAAAUCUAUAAUUCAUAGCGUUCACACAUCCUCUAAUGGCUAAUUGACCUUCUUUGCCGGUGAACUGCUCUGAAUCUUGAACCACACAUUCUCUUCAAUUACAUAUUCUUAGUUUUCUGCCUACUUCCUAGUUUUAAAUUAGUUGGCAACUAGCAGAAGUACUAAUUUGAUGAUUCCUGCCGAUUGCAUAUUCUUAACUAGAAACUUAGACAAACCCAUUCUGUUUCAUACUACAUAAUAAAUCCUAUAUGUAGAUUUUAAGGACACAGAAGUAUCUGUCUACACAUCUUACGGUCCUCUGACCCUUUAUAAUGGCUAAAUCUUGCAAAGCUUUCUCUGUGCAAAGACUUGAAUCACGCUCAUCCCACUAGAUACAUUAGUCCAUUCAGGUUCUGGAAUUUAUGGCAUUCUUUGUUUGUGCCUCGUGUCUGUGUUAUGAUCUUCCAAAAAUGUUGCGUGAAUACUUUAUUGCCAAUCGUGUGCCAAUGCUGCCUUUGGUUGAUUGCGUGGCUUGUAUGCUUUAGCUGAAUGUAAUUGUUUGUAGUGUUGGCUGUUUUCUGUGUUUAAGUAGGAGUAGUUUAACACUGCCUUUGCCGGUCCCAAGCCCGGAUGAGAAAAUGUGGAGGGGACUGCAGUUAGCUCCUCUGUAUCCUUUGCAUUAGAACUGUCAUGGUCUCCUAAUAUUUUACAUUGAGUAGCAGUGAAUGAAGCGAGUAGAAGUUGCACAGAUUGUCUAGUCGAAUACCGAAUCGUCACACAAUGUGGUGGCAAGCUGUACAAGGUCGGUGUUUUACUUGCGUUCCCUGAAGGGAAGUCGUGAGUGUAUAGGAAGCCUUGCAUGAAAGGCCUCCUGUACCACAAUUGUUGUGGGUAACUGCUUCCCUAGAAAAUGCUGUGGUAUUGCUGUGGUAUUGCGUGACUGGUCCUGGAUGGUAGUGGUAAUCAUUACAGUGAUUCAGGAGUUGGGAAAUACGAGUGCAUUAUUACAAGUUGAGUCAAUGAGGUUAGCAGAGGAAUUUUUGUAAUCUGUAAAAGCAAGUUCAGGGAGUGUUCAGAAAUACGUAUUUUCAGUUGAGUUAAUGAGGUUAGCAGAGGUGUUUUCCUUGUCAAGUUGUGGUUAUCGUUCACACAAUCUCAUUUUGCGCCCAUAAGAAAGUCAGGGAUGCAGAUAUGGUGGUUCAUUUCAGAGUAGAAAUUCAAGUCCGACGAAACUGAAGAAGCUUCAACCACUGCGAUCCCCUCUGGAGACGUCCUUCAUCACCUCGUGUGUAGAGGUAGCUACACACACCGGCAGUCAAGCUUUGCGCACUACUGUAGAUGUUGCUGCAGUUUCGGCAGUAUACAAAUUCCAACAACAGAGUCUGUCUCAUCUCGUAAUUUCAUCGCGCUGUAUCUUAAAUCUUAUCAGCGCAGAUGCUAAUAUAUGUUGUUGAAUCA